Long non-coding RNA from Physella acuta, 1417 nucleotides. RefSeq lists it as uncharacterized. The record is from RefSeq and is a predicted model, not a curated record. NCBI's taxonomy places the organism in Eukaryota, Metazoa, Mollusca, Gastropoda, Physidae.
UACAAGCUUGUUAUUAAAACGUUUUUUAUGAAAAUUUUUUUGCCUUUUGAUCUUCCAUGCACCAAAAAGAGUAUUGAAUCCCAGAGUUGUUUUGGUCACUGAGUCAAGUAGAUUUUUAUUUUUCUUCUGUUGAAGAGUAAGAAUCUCUUGCAAUUUAUGUUUGACUCCAGCUGUUUGUGCAACAGAAAGUUUUCUAAAUGUUUUGACUUGGAAUUUUUACAUUUUUCUACUUGGAAUUUAUUUUAAUUUCUAAAUUGACAUUCUCAUUAAUGUAUUAUAGAAAGUAUAAAUGUAAAGUAAUUACUUGUACUGGUAGUUUUAUGAUACAUAGAUAAAUGUAACCUUUUACUGUGCUCUAUAAUAGCCAUAGUUUGUUUAGUCAUAUUUAUCUAGUACAAUAGAUUAUACCGCUUUCAUUUUUAAAAAAAAUUAUUCAGUGACACUAUACUACAGUGUUAAUGUUUAAUUUCAUUCACAUGAAUGUAUGCUUUCAUUUUUUGCUUUUCCAAUUUGUAUUCAUACAUCUUUACUGUAGACCAGGGGUCUCCAAACUUUUCAGUCCGAGGGCUGCAUUAAUAUCAAAUUUCAGUUCGAGGCCAGUUUCUUCCAGGCAUGUCUUUGAUUUUUCUGGGCAAAGUUCCUCAGCCAUCACCAACAAAUGAUUUUUUCCGUGGACAAUAAGAUCUCUGCGGGCCGGAUGAGAGGACAUCCCGGGCCGCAUCAGGCCCGCGGGCCGUAGUUUGGAGACCCCUGCUGUAGACAAUCAAAAUAUAAAAUCUAACCAGCCUCAUACAAUUUAGUUGUCUAGACAAAUAACAUCUGUAUUGCUGUGUCAUCUAAAUUAAAUAUUUACUAGUUCAAAUCAUAUUGAAAUAUUGAACUUCAUUGGAUAAAGGGAAAGAUGUGUCACGUGACUCACUAAUCACAUGGUUACAGUGUAUCAUAUUUCAGUAUAAAACAGCUCACUUCUGUUAUGUAUUUAACAAUUAGUACCGUUAUAAUAUGGUACUUUAGGAAAUGCUUUCAGUUUCAAAUAGGAAUUGCAAAAAAUGGUUAUGUUAUUAUCUGUUUCUAUUUUUACUGUAAUUUCUUAAGUAAUGAAGAGUCCUUUUUAGGAAAAUGUUUACUGCCAUGCUUUUUUUUACUCGUAAUAUUUGUUCAAUUUUUAUCCUCUUUUACCAUUAUGUGUGCAAUUAAGGGGAGACCACUGUGAUCACCCUGAUAGACAUUUAUAUAAGUCAUUGUUAUUUCACUUCACAAGAGCCUUGUUAAACAAGAAUUACAUCAGCAACAUGAAAUGUUAAACCAAGGUGACUUGUUAAUCAAUUCAACUAGUUUUAUUAUGGACUUGUGUAAUAUAAUAAGCAUCUAUGUGUGAUCAGAAUUUUUCAUUGUAGAAAAUAAAUAGUUGAUUUGU